Chrysemys picta bellii (western painted turtle) is the source of this 575-nucleotide long non-coding RNA. RefSeq lists it as uncharacterized. The record is from RefSeq and is a predicted model, not a curated record. Lineage: Eukaryota; Metazoa; Chordata; Testudines; Emydidae.
GGGUGUGGCAGAGAACAAUAGAUAACUAACUCCGGCCUCACUCAGCGCUGCUAAAGUCCCUGCCCUGCCUUAGUGCCCAGGCGAUGGCUGGAGACACACAUUACACCCACCACCCACCCCUAGUAACAAUACACGCUCCAUGCGCGUGUUAGGCACAGAGCUAGAUAUGGAAACAGUCCAGCAUAGUCUAGAGCAAAUCCCAAAGGCUAGAGGAAGAAGAAGAAAAGCCGAGGAAUACACAGUUAAAGGUGAAAGGCUCACGAUAUUCUGCAGCACUAAGGGACACCUCAGGAUUAAUCACGGUAUUUGCACUUUGAACAUGCAAAACACUGUUGAUGGAAACCCAAACACAAUAGCAUUGUGCUGGGGAAUGAGAAGGAGAGAGUGAAACUGACUAUACACAGAAUAUGAAAUUGACCAGGCUGGUUCCCCUGUCCAAGCAGAUUGAAAUACAAAAGGAAGUCUCUCUCAUUUCAGUCUCCAUACUUCUGGCCAGGAGGACUCAGGUAAUGAAAAUGAACAUGCGUUAGUCCAUACUGCUUUGGAUUGUUAUCGAGCAGAACCCGUCAUCAGUA